GAUGAACGCUGGCGGUCUGCUUAACACAUGCAAGUCGAACGGAAUCUUUCGGGAUUUAGUGGCGGACGGGUGAGUAACGCGUGAGAAUCUGCCUUCAGGUUCGGGACAACAGUUGGAAACGGCUGCUAAUACCGGAUGUGCCGAGAGGUGAAAGCUUAAGUGCCUGGAGAUGAGCUCGCGUCUGAUUAGCUAGUAGGAGUGGUAACGGCACCCCUAGGCGACGAUCAGUAGCUGGUCUGAGAGGAUGAUCAGCCACACUGGGACUGAGACACGGCCCAGACUCCUACGGGAGGCAGCAGUGGGGAAUUUUCCGCAAUGGGCGCAAGCCUGACGGAGCAAGACCGCGUGAGGGAAGAAGGUCUGUGGAUUGUAAACCUCUUUUGAUAGGGAAGAAGACAGUGACGGUACCUAUCGAAUCAGCCUCGGCUAACUCCGUGCCAGCAGCCGCGGUAAUACGGAGGAGGCAAGCGUUAUCCGGAAUUAUUGGGCGUAAAGAGUCCGUAGGUGGGUCACCUAGUCAGUUGUUAAAUAGUGAAGCUUAACUUCAUAGAGGCGACUGAAACUGGUGGUCUAGAGUGUGGUAGGGGUAGAGGGAAUUUCCAGUGUAGCGGUGAAAUGCGUAGAUAUUGGAAAGAACACCGGUGGCGAAAGCGCUCUACUGGGCCUGCACUGACACUGAGGGACUAAAGCUAGGGGAGCGAAAGGGAUUAGAUACCCCUGUGGUCCUAGCCGUAAACGAUGGAUACUAGGCGUUGCCCG
Molecule: ribosomal RNA, 759 nt
Filed under: uncultured cyanobacterium
Lineage: Bacteria; Bacillati; Cyanobacteriota
Description: bacterial SSU rRNA
Rfam family: Bacterial small subunit ribosomal RNA
Source: RNAcentral